Molecule: ribosomal RNA, 447 nt
Filed under: uncultured bacterium
Lineage: Bacteria
Description: partial 16S ribosomal RNA
Rfam family: Bacterial small subunit ribosomal RNA
Source: RNAcentral
CCUACGGGGGGCAGCAGUGGGGAAUAUUGCGCAAUGGGCGGAAGCCUGACGCAGCGACGCCGCGUGCGGGACGAAGGCCUUCUGGUCGUAAACCGCUUUCAGCAGGGACGAGGCGCUCACGGUGCCGGCACCUGCAGAUGAAGCCCCGGUAAACUACGUGCCCGCAGCCGCGGUAAUCCGUCGGGGGCGAGCGUUAUCCGGAUUCAUUGGGCGUAAGGCGCGCGUGGGCGGCCUGUUAGGUCGGGGGUAAAAUGCCGGGGCUCAACCCCGGUCCGCCCCCGAUACCGGCAGGCUUGAGUGUGUGAGGGGAAGGCGGAAUGCGCGGUGUAGCGGUGGAAUGCGCAGAUAUCGGGAAGAACACCGGCGGCGAAGGCGGCCUGCUGGGCCACGACUGACGCUGAGGAGCGAAAGCUAGGGGAGCGAACAGGAUUAGAUACCCUUGUAGUC